This 394-nucleotide long non-coding RNA is filed under the name Capra hircus (goat). RNAcentral describes it as "lncRNA (ENSCHIG00000002788.1)". The record is from RNAcentral. Lineage: Eukaryota; Metazoa; Chordata; Mammalia; Artiodactyla; Bovidae.
AUUACCUUAUUGAUGAAACUAGUUGAGUCUGCUAAUCUUUGCCACUGAAAGCAUCCUUCCAAAAAAUUCAAAGGUGUAGUGGUAAUUCAUUACUAGGGUUUGCAUCUAACAACUUCUGUUUUCCUUUUAGGGAAGGAGAAGGGUCAGAGAUUUGAAGAAAGUGAAGAAUCAGAAAGCAUCUUUUUAGGGAAAUUCAGGAGUGCUGAAGGCCUGAGAGAUAACAGGACCAGACUAUUGGGCCAAGAUCAAUUUGGAGACUCUCCUGAUGGGCCCAUGGCUUCAUGACAUUCAAUGAUCAUCAAAUGUAAGAUUAUAUAUUAUCAAAGUAGAUAAAAUAUAUCGAAUAAAGAGUAAUAAUACAAUCACAUUAAAGUAUGCUUUCUUUCAAAAUUGU